AGACGGCAGCCGACUCUCCCGAGACACAGGGCCGAGAAGAACCGUCGGCAAACGCACCAGACGGGCGGAAAAAAAGGAUGAAGGGAGGAAGAUAUAGCCAGCCAGAGAAGGGAGAAGAGGAGAAACAUCUGGAAAAUAUCAGUGUUGCAGAGCCUCCCGGAAACUGACCUCGCCACCGAAAGGGUGAAUGGGGUCAAAAUGGAAACAGCAUGAGAGGGGCCACAGAAGGGAUUCACCAGGAAGAAGAGGAAAGGUGGGGCUGAGGUGGCCAGGACAGCACGACAUCACAUCUGACCAAGGCAUCCUCAGCCUUCCUUCAGAAAAGCAGCAGAAGGAAAAAGCUGGUACCAUUCUAAGCUUCAUCAGUGGAGAGUACUGUAGAGACAUUACAGAAAGAAGCAGUUUUCCUUCCUGGUUCCGGUACACUCUUUCUGCAGGCUGCUGCAAACACGCAUGGCUCCUAGAGUAUCCACACCUUCUUCAGCAACUGGCUCCUGCUGAACAUGAUGGUCAGCACCUCCCAGCCUCCAGCAGCUUCCACUGGCAUCCCUCUCGGUUGAUUUUGCAGCAGAAUGCAUCCAGUGAAAGACCUCCACAUGAAUAGCUUUCCUUAGCAUCUUAGAGGGUAGAUUUCUAGCAAGUUCUGCCAGCAUAGCACCCCAGUGACUUCUCUGCCAGCCCAGGAGCCACAGCAGGCCAUGACCUCUCCAGCAAGGUCUGGAGCAGAGAGAAGCAUGUGUUUGGGUGCUCUAUCAGACCCACGGCCCACGGGUAGGGGCUGCUCCUUAUAUCUGCUAUUCCUCUGUUAUUUAAAGUUCUCUUUACUUCCUGUUAGCUAGUCCCCAUUAUAGUGAACUACUUCUCUUUUUCUUAACAGUUUUCUUUUGUAUUUUUUAAAAAUUGUGGCAAAAUACAUAUAGUAUAAAAUUUACCAUCUUAAUAAUUUUAAAUAUACAGUUCAGGAGAAUUAAGUACAUUCACAUUGUUGUACAAUCAUCACCACUAUCCAUCUCUAGAACUUUUUUCAUCUUGCAAAACUGAAACUCUGUACCCACUGAAGACUAAUUCGCCAUUCUCUGCUCCUGUCAGCCCCUGGCAACCACCAUUCUACUUUUUGUCUCUAUAAAUUUGACUACUCCAGGUAACUUACAUUCAGUGGAAUUAAAGAGUAUUUGUCUUUUUGUGAUGGCUUAUCUCACUUAACAUCCUCAAGAUUCAUCCACAUGGUAGCAGGUCAGACUUUCCUUCCUUUCUUCCUUUUUAAGGCUGGGUGAUAUUCCAUUGUAUGUGUAUAUCACAUUUUGUUUAUACAUCCUUCUGUAGAUGGAUACCUGGAUUGCUACCACCUUUUGGGUUUUGGUUUACAAAUAUCUCUUUGAGAUGCCUUUUCAAUUCUUUUGAGUAUAUACCCAGAAGUAAAAUUGCUAAAUCAUAUGGUAAUUCUAUUUUUCAUUUUUAAAGGAACUGUCAUAUUGUUUUCCUAGCUAAUACUUGUUUAUUUUAAACUUUCCUUUAAAUUACUGUGUACUUUAUAUUCUCAUUAGACCCUGACCAAUAUAUGCAAUGCCCAACAGGUACAUACAUUCCAUUAAGAAAUGAAGAGUAACGUAAAAACAUUAUUUUUAAAUAUUUCAAUAUAUAUGUAUUAUUUUGUACAACUACAAAGUUAUCAAUACAGAAAUACUAAGUUGUUUGGAACUAAGUACUUAACAAAUGAAACUGCUAAGUAUUUCUUUUGUCCUAGAAAUGGCAUGAAAAAAAUUACUGAGACCACUAAGGGUGCAUGAGCCAAGAACAUUUGGAAGGCUCUGCUCUAGCCUACAUGUUUCCAGCUGCCAUUAGGACCUGUCUGCUUGAAUGGUUCCUUAGGCUCGCCCUAUCUAGGGGUAUCCCUGAAGGCACAGAUGGAGCCUUAAUAUUAACCGUACUUAAUAUUAUAUUUCUUUAUAAAUUUUUCUCACUUAGGCACUGGGGGCUACAAACCUUACAAUUAUCUUUGACUUAUGCUGCUCUGUCUCCCCUUAUUUCUAAUCUCACAUCAAAAUGUUUCCUGGAUUGGCCUUUUUUUCUCUCCAUUCCUGCAGCAGUCAGUAAAGCCAUCAUCUCUAGUUAGCGUUGCCUAACAGAUUUUAAGCUAGUUUCCCUUAAACAAGACAGUGGGUUGAAAAUUCAAAUGCUCACUGAGGCUAGAAAUAUGUUAAUUCAUACCUGCCACACAAGAAUUGGCUGCCUCAGUCCUUGCACCCAUGAAGGCAACACCAAUAGGACAGGCUGUGGGUGAGGCCCCAUUCCCAGGAUGCCAGCUAUUACAGUGUGGAUGUUUGUCCCUUCCAAGCCUCAUGUUGAAAUGUGAUGGAGGUGGGGCCUGAUAGGAGGUGUUUGGGUCAUGGAGGUGGAUCCUUAAUGAAUGGCUUGGUGCCCUCCCCAUGGUAACGAGUGAGUCCUUGCUCUAUGAGUUCAUGCGAGAGCUGGUUCUUUAAAAGAGCCUGGUACCUCCUCCCCUCUCUCUUGCU
Molecule: long non-coding RNA, 2513 nt
Filed under: Homo sapiens (human)
Lineage: Eukaryota; Metazoa; Chordata; Mammalia; Primates; Hominidae
Description: non-protein coding lnc-DTWD2-15:3
Source: RNAcentral